Molecule: ribosomal RNA, 484 nt
Filed under: uncultured bacterium
Lineage: Bacteria
Description: partial 16S ribosomal RNA
Rfam family: Bacterial small subunit ribosomal RNA
Source: RNAcentral
AUUGAACGCUGGCGGCAGGCCUAACACAUGCAAGUCGAGCGGACGAAGGGAGCUUGCUCCUGGAUUCAGCGGCGGACGGGUGAGUAAUGCCUAGGAAUCUGCCUGGUAGUGGGGGAUAACGUCCGGAAACGGGCGCUAAUACCGCAUACGUCAUGAGGGAGAACGUGGGGGAUCUUCGGACCUCACGCUAUCAGAUGAGCCUAGGUCGGAUUAGCUAGUUGGUGGGGUAAAGGCCUACCAAGGCGACGAUCCGUAACUGGUCUGAGAGGAUGAUCAGUCACACUGGAACUGAGACACGGUCCAGACUCCUACGGGAGGCAGCAGUGGGGAAUAUUGGACAAUGGGCGAAAGCCUGAUCCAGCCAUGCCGCGUGUGUGAAGAAGGUCUUCGGAUUGUAAAGCACUUUAAGUUGGGAGGAAGAGCAGUAAGUUAAUACCUUGCUAUUUUGACGUUACCAACAGAAUAAGCACCGGCUAACUUCGUG